Molecule: ribosomal RNA, 357 nt
Filed under: Triticum aestivum (bread wheat)
Lineage: Eukaryota; Viridiplantae; Streptophyta; Magnoliopsida; Poales; Poaceae
Description: partial small subunit ribosomal RNA
Source: RNAcentral
GUGGGCAACUUACUAAGAGCUUGGGUCGUCCUGCGCCUGUCACCGAUGAGAAACUUGGUGGGCCUCACAACAGUAGCACGCCCGCAAGUGUAGCCCGGGCCUGGGGUCUUAAGAGUGAAGUUUUUGGGCAGCUUAACCGUCUUAUUGGUAGUCCCAGAAAGACCUACACUGAUCUGGAAGGAGGCAGCAUUUGCUGGGUCCUGGUUAAACGUACUUAUAACUCCUCCCUUGCAGCAGUUGCCAACUUGGUCUUUGUACGGUGUUCCUGGGAGAAGAUCGAUGACGGUCGGAUCUCUCUUGCAGCAAUGGGGAGGGUUGGUCUUGAACUUGGAGCAGUCGCCCUGCUCGGUGGUCUGA